AAGUCGAGGGGUAACGGGGUGCUUGCACCGCCGACGACCGGCGCACGGGUGCGUAACGCGUAUACAAUCUACCUUGUAGAGGGGAAUAGCCCAGAGAAAUUUGGAUUAAUGCCCCAUAGUAUUAUUAGAUAGCAUUAUCUUAUAAUUAAACAUUUAUGGCUACAAGAUGAGUAUGCGUUCUAUUAGUUAGUAGGUAAGGUAACGGCUUACCUAGACUUCGAUAGAUAGGGGUCCUGAGAGGGAGAUCCCCCACACUGGUACUGAGACACGGACCAGACUCCUACGGGAGGCAGCAGUGAGGAAUAUUGGACAAUGGGCGAGAGCCUGAUCCAGCCAUGCCGCGUGCAGGAAGACGGCCCUAUGGGUUGUAAACUGCUUUUAUAGAGGAAGAAACACUCCUACGUGUAGGAGCUUGACGGUACUCUACGAAUAAGGAUCGGCUAACUCCGUGCCAGCAGCCGCGGUAAUACGGAGGAUCCAAGCGUUAUCCGGAAUCAUUGGGUUUAAAGGGUCCGUAGGCGGGACAAUCAGUCAGCGGUGAAAGUCUGUGGCUCAACCAUAGAAUUGCCGUUGAUACUGUUGUUCUUGAAUACUUAUGAAGUGGUUGGAAUAUGUAGUGUAGCGGUGAAAUGCAUAGAUAUUACAUAGAACACCGAUUGCGAAGGCAGAUCACUAAUAAGUCAUUGACGCUGAUGGACGAAAGCGUAGG
RNAcentral lists this ribosomal RNA (709 nucleotides) under uncultured bacterium. RNAcentral's name for it is "bacterial SSU rRNA". It matches the Rfam family "Bacterial small subunit ribosomal RNA", at positions 59 to 765 of the family's 1533-position model. The record is from RNAcentral.